Molecule: non-coding RNA, 899 nt
Filed under: Ophioleila elegans
Lineage: Eukaryota; Metazoa; Echinodermata; Ophiuroidea; Amphilepidida; Hemieuryalidae
Description: 12S ribosomal RNA
Rfam family: Microsporidia small subunit ribosomal RNA (bases 179-899)
Source: RNAcentral
UAUGAAUUUGGUUCUAGUUCUUUUUAUUAUAUAGUUUUGAGGCUUAUGCAUGUGAGUUAGUUAGCGUUCCGGUGAGGUUUUGCAAGUUUUUUAAUUUUGUUUUUAGUUUUAAUAAAAAAUAGAAGGGACUUUGUAAGAUGGCUGUUUUUUUGGAUAAGGAACAGCUGUUAAAUGGCGCCACAUCUACAGCAAUAAAUCCUUAACAAUAACUGUAGAGUUGAUUAGACCAAGUAUUGUUUUAAAGUGGCUAAGUUUCGUGCCAGCAGCCGCGGUUACACGAAUCACUUUUUUGUAAUAAAGAAAGCGGCUUAUUAGAGUAAAUUUUAUAAAAAUUUAAAAAAGGGAUUAUUUUAUAAAAGUGUAAUAACUUGAACUAAUUUCGAAAAUAUAUAAAAUUUUUAAAUGCUCUGUAAUUUAAGGGGAGGACCCGGAUUAGAUACCCGGUUAUUCUUAAGCAUAAAAAAAUUAAUGCCGGCGGAGUAUGGGGGUGUCUUUAAAAAGCAAAGAACUUGGCGGUUGUUUAUUUCUGAUUAGGGGAAUUUGCUUGAAGAAAAUGAUAAUCCUCAAUAUACCUGACCUUCUCUUGAUUUAAUCAGUUACUAUAUCAUCGUCUUUAAGUGCUUAAUUUAAGUUGAAGAUAGCUAUAAAUCCAGAAGGAUAGAAGUCAGAUCAAGAUGGUGCUAAUGAGAGGGGGAGAGUGAAUUACAUUGGCUGUCUGGCCUCAGUUUGGAUUUUUAAGUGAAAUUUUUAAUGAAGGAGGACUUAAUAGUAGUUGAGAAUAAGAAAAGCUUGGCGAAGUUAGCGCUGAACUUCGUACACAUCGCCCGUCACCUGCGGGAAUAAAACCUGGAGUAAGUCGUAACAUAGUAGGCGGACCGGAAGGUGUGGCCUGGUUAGUG